ACGCUGGCGGCGUGCUUAACACAUGCAAGUCGAACGAGAGGAGAAGGAAGCUUGCUUCUUUCAAAUCUAGUGGCAAACGGGUGAGUAACACGUAAACAACCUGCCUUCAGGAUGGGGACAACAGACGGAAACGACUGCUAAUACCGUAUGAGGUCAUACGAUGGCAUCAGAAUAUGACGAAAGGUUUAGCGGUGAAGGAUGGGGAUGCGUCUGAUUAGCUUGUUGGUGAGGUAACGGCUCACCAAGGCGACGAUCAGUAGGGGUUCUGAGAGGAAGGUCCCCCACAUUGGAACUGAGACACGGUCCAAACUCCUACGGGAGGCAGCAGUGAGGAAUAUUGGUCAAUGGGCGGAAGCCUGAACCAGCCAAGUAGCGUGCAGGAUGACGGCCCUAUGGGUUGUAAACUGCUUUUAUGCGGGGAUAAAGUAUGGGACGUGUCCCAUUUUGCAGGUACCGCAUGAAUAAGGACCGGCUAAUUCCGUG
RNAcentral lists this ribosomal RNA (483 nucleotides) under uncultured bacterium. Its description in RNAcentral is "bacterial SSU rRNA". It matches the Rfam family "Bacterial small subunit ribosomal RNA", at positions 33 to 507 of the family's 1533-position model. The record is from RNAcentral.